AUACUAAGAUAUGUUUUAUUUCUGUUCUUUCAGAACCUACAGCAUCCGCCAAGGCCUCCUAAACCAAUUCCUAAGGAGCUUCUACCUCUUCCUCCAAUUCCUGGGAUAUCAAAAACAGAGAAGGAAACGCACAUACCACUGAAACCUCUGUAAGUAAUCAAUGAUCCAGAUAAUAACUGAAGACUUUCAAGACAACAUACUGUAAUUACUUA
Molecule: long non-coding RNA, 212 nt
Filed under: Lepisosteus oculatus (spotted gar)
Lineage: Eukaryota; Metazoa; Chordata; Actinopteri; Semionotiformes; Lepisosteidae
Description: lncRNA (ENSLOCG00000023051.1)
Source: RNAcentral